UACAGAGGGUGCGAGCGUUAAUCGGAAUUACUGGGCGUAAAGCGUGCGUAGACGGCUAUCUAAGUCGGGUGUGAAAGCCCCGGGCUCAACCUGGGAAUUGCAUUCGAGACUGAAUAGCUAGGGUACGGUAGAGGGAAGUGGAAUUUCCGGUGUAGCGGUGAGAUGCGUAGAUAUCGGAAGGAACAUCAGUGGCGAAAGCGACUUCCUGGACCAGUACCGACGUUCAGGCACGAAAGCGUGGGGAGCAAACAGG
RNAcentral lists this ribosomal RNA (253 nucleotides) under uncultured bacterium. RNAcentral's name for it is "partial 16S ribosomal RNA". It matches the Rfam family "Bacterial small subunit ribosomal RNA", at positions 524 to 776 of the family's 1533-position model. The record is from RNAcentral.